CCUGGUUGAUCCUGCCAGUAAUCAUAUGCUUGUCUCAAAGAUUAAGCCAUGCAUGUCUAAGUACAUGCCGAAAGAAGGUCGCGAAACCGCGAAUGGCUCAUUAAAUCAGUUAUGGUUCCUUAGAUCGUUUCUUCCUACUUGGAUAACUGUGGCAAUUCUAGAGCUAAUACAUGCAGUGAGCCUGGAGCCCUUUGGGUAACGGGUGCUUUUAUUAGACCAAGAUCGAUCGGGUUUCGGCCCGUAUUGUGUGGUGACUCUGGAUAACUUUGUGCUGAUCGCAUGGCCACGAGCCGGCGACGUUUCUUUCAAGUGUCUGCCUUAUCAACUUUCGAUGGUAGGUUACUUGCUUACCAUGGUUGUUACGGGUAACGGAGAAUCAGGGUUCGAUUCCGGAGAGGGAGCCUGAGAAACGGCUACCACAUCCAAGGAAGGCAGCAGGCGCGCAAAUUACCCACUCCCGGCACGGGGAGGUAGUGACGAAAAAUAACAAUACGGGACUCUUUUGAGGCCCCGUAAUUGAAAUGAGUACACUCUAAAUCCUUUAACGAGGAUCAAUUGGAGGGCAAGUCUGGUGCCAGCAGCCGUGGUAAUUCCAGCUCCAAUAGCGUAUACUAAAGCUGCUGCGGUUAACAGCUCGUAGUUGGAUCUCAGUUCCAGACGAGUAGUGCAUCUACCCGAUGCGAUGGCUCGGACUGAACAUCAUGCCGGUUCUUUCUUGGUGCACUUCAUUGUGUGCCUCGAGAUGGCCGGUGCUUUUACUUUGAAAAAAUUAGAGUGCUCAACGCAGGCGAGUCGCCUGAAUAAACUUGCAUGGAAUAAUAGAACAAGACCUCGUUUCUGUUCUGUUGUUUUGGAAUACGAGGUAAUGAUUAAGAGGGACGGACGGGGGCAUUCGUAUUGCGGCGCUAGAGGUGAAAUUCUUGGACCGUCGCAAGACGAACUACUGCGAAAGCAUUUGCCAAGAAUGUUUUCAUUGAUCAAGAACGAAAGUCAGAGGUUCGAAGGCGAUCAGAUACCGCCCUAGUUCUGACCAUAAACGAUGCCAACCAGCGAUCCGCCUGAGUUACUCAAAUGACUCGGCGGGCAGCUUCCGGGAAACCAAAGUAUUUGGGUUCCGGGGGAAGUAUGGUUGCAAAGCUGAAACUUAAAGGAAUUGACGGAAGGGACCACCAGGAGUGGAGCCUGCGGCUUAAUUUGACUCAACACGGGAAAACUUACCCGGCCCGGACACUGGGAGGAUUGACAGAUUGAGAGCUCUUUCUUGAUUCGGUGGAUGGUGGUGCAUGGCCGUUCUUAGUUGGUGGAGCGAUUUGUCUGGUUAAUUCCGAUAACGAACGAGACUCUAGCCUAUUAAAUAGGUGCGGGGUUCCCAGCACCUUACAACCUUCUUAGAGGGACAAGCGGCUCCUAGCCGCACGAAACAGAGCAAUAACAGGUCUGUGAUGCCCUUAGAUGUCCGGGGCCGCACGCGCGCUACACUGAAGGAAGCAGCGUGUCUUUAUCCCUGUCUGAAAACGGGUAACCCGGGCUCCGGCGCCGAAAGUGGUCCUUGGCACCGACUUCGGUGGACGUGGGAAGUGCCGCGCAAGUACGGCGCGCCUGGCUCCACCUGUUGGCUAAAGUAGGCAGCCGGAUCGGCAUUUUGGUGUGCGGUGGCAAACCGUGGAUGCGAAAAAAGCUU
RNAcentral lists this ribosomal RNA (1681 nucleotides) under Rhipicephalus microplus (southern cattle tick). RNAcentral describes it as "SSU rRNA". It matches the Rfam family "Eukaryotic small subunit ribosomal RNA", at positions 3 to 1562 of the family's 1831-position model. The record is from RNAcentral. Lineage: Eukaryota; Metazoa; Arthropoda; Arachnida; Ixodida; Ixodidae.